This 305-nucleotide ribosomal RNA is filed under the name uncultured bacterium. Its description in RNAcentral is "bacterial SSU rRNA". It matches the Rfam family "Bacterial small subunit ribosomal RNA", at positions 333 to 635 of the family's 1533-position model. The record is from RNAcentral.
GUGUUCCUACGGGAGGCAGCAGUGAGGAAUAUUGGUCAAUGGGCGGUAGCCUGAACCAGCCAAGUAGCGUGAAGGAUGAAGGUUCUAUGGGUUGUAAACUUCUUUUAUAAAGGAAUAAAGUGAGGCACGUGUGCCUUUUUGUAUGUACUUUAUGAAUAAGGAUCGGCUAACUCCGUGCCAGCAGCCGCGGUAAUACGUAGGAUCCGAGCGUUAUCCGGAUUUAUUGGGUUUAAAGGGAGCGUAGAUGGGUUGUUAAGUCAGUUGUGAAAGUUUGCGGCUCAACCGUAAAAUUGCAAUUGAUACUG